AUCACUUAAAAAUGUUUUCAAAGUUCUGUAUUGACAUCCUUGUGAGCCAGGGUGGACAUGAAGGGUAACUCAUGAUGACACCAAAAUGUGCUAGUUUUAAUUGUGUUAUUUCACCUCUCUCUCUCUCUCUCUCUCUCUCGUGCUGUAUGCACGUUUACGUUAUGUAUGUACACUUGUAUUACCUAAACUCUUUAAGGUACUUUGUUUUGAUGAUGAAUGUUUAAUGGUAUUGAUUGUGACGCUUGAGGCUUGAACGGAAAUAUCCUGCUUAAUGUCAAAGCUUUGGGCUUCAUCAACUGCUCAUGUACUGUCCCUGCUCCAGAUUUCAUGGCUAUGGUAUGGUAUCUCAUUUUUCAAGCAUUUCCCAUCUUGUCAUAUAUAUUGUGGUUUUUAUGUGUAACAGUUGAUGUGCUGGAUAUGCAAUAGUGAAGUUUUGCUUGCUUGGUUUUACUGCCAUUUACCACUGGUUAGUCUCUACGUCAGUCGAUGUGUGUACUUGUGUGUUUUGUGUUUAGCAAUCUGGGACCCUUACAGUUUCAUUUUAUUAGCAAAAGGUAGCAAAAGGUUCCACUUUGACAUUGAAUCAUCUUAAUUUUUAUUUUCAUAUGCAUGCAUGCAAACAUUUGGUCUCUUGUUUUAUUGUUUGUCAAAUUUUCUAUUAGUGCACCUGCUUGUUCUGGUUACUAGCACUUGUGUUCAUCCUGGAGGUUGUUCGACAGUUUCCAAUAUAUGGUAUUUGAUCAAAAUCACUUUUAAACCCCCUUCUUCUAGCCCAUCUAUUAACGUACAAGUACUUUUUCCUAAACAACUAGUGGUAAAAUUAAGGCAUUUCAUUGUAUUGGUGAUUUUAUACUCAUCCACGGAAUGUAUAACUAAGUAAUUUGAAUAAGAUCGCUGGGAUUGGCCUCUCAGCGUCUUGAGGUUCAUUUGGAUGAUUGACUAAACAAAGAUUUUGCAGGUCUUGCUGGUUAGAACAAGAAAAAGAUUUGACUCCAAUUCCUUUUGGCAACUUGGCUUUGUUGUGCAGCAUCCUCUUUGAGAUUUGCAGGUUGUCGUCCUGGCAGUACCCUUGUUAAGGUUUAUCAAGUGCUCAUGUUCUCUAACAUGCUGCAGACAUUCCACCCAACUCCCAACCGUUCCUUCUUCCAUCAUUGGAUGAUGCCAAGGAGGACUAGCUUACAACAGAAGUUACAUAUAAACGAUUGUGACUUUCAGUUCUUGAAUUUAAUAAUAAAGAUCCACACUUGAACAGCUCGGUAUAAUUCAUUUUCAGUAAGAAACGAGAACGAGGUGUUUGGUUUGGUAAUCGCCGAGCUUGAAGUGUUUUCUAAGAUGGUGGUUUUUUGCCGAGCUUGAAGUGUUUUCUAGAAGGAUGGUUCUUUAGAGAUUUUAAAAUCAAUUCAAUAACGGUUUUUCAUCCAACAGUUCCAUCGAUUGAUUUGUUAAAGUUUUAAAAUCAACAACUAAUAAUUGAUUUCAAUCGACCAUUGAUUCUAUCGAUUUUAUUUUAGAAUUUUUUCAUAUGUUAUAAUAGUUGAUUUAAUUUAUUCAUUUGGAUAUUAUUAUUUUAUUAAUAAUAAUUUAUUUUAAAUUAAUUUUAUAUAAUUAUCUUUUUAUAAUUCAAUAAUGAACAAUUAUUAUUUUCAAAUUCCACUAAACUAGCUCUUAAUUAAUAGUGGAAUUUUAACUGUUGCUGCAGAUAACUCUCGUUUUCCUUUUUUAAUCCCUUCCUCAUCUUUCUCAAUGGUGCUCCAUUUCAUCUUAUACUAGCAAAAAUGAUAUUUCAUAGGGGGUGUCAAUGACACGCGAAUUUGAUUUGUCAAAUAUAAAAAAGAAAAAUAUGGAUUAAGCUAAACUUUAGUAGGUUCAAACAUAAAAAAGAAAAAUACAGAUUAAGCUAAACAAUAGUAGGUUCAGGUUCGUAAAUAGGUUGAUCUGUUUAUCAACCCAUUUAUGACAGGCUUGAAAUAAGUGGUGUAACGGAUUGACUUAUGAACUCAUUGUAAUCUGUUUAAUUUUUUCGUGUUGUGUUGGAUCGUGUCAAUUCCAUCCAACCCAUUUAUAAUUUAUAAAUUUUAAAAAAUAAAAAAUAGAAAAAUUAUAUAUAAAAGUGAGAGCAAAUAAAAAUAUAAUGAUUAAAAAGCAAAAUAUAACAAAUAAGACCUAUGAUGAUCCUAUUAAAAUUUUUUACUAUUUAUUUUUGUGCCACCUCUUUCACAGAAUAAAACAAAAUUCUAACAAAUAAUUUGUCCAUAUGAAUUUUAAAGAUGCCUUUUCGAACACGUAUUGAGGCUGCAACACGUGCGAAUGGCCUGUAAUGUACUUCCUUAACAUAGAUAUAUCAAAUACCGGAUGCACAUGUGAAAAAUUUGACAGCAAGUCCAGCUUGUAUGGCAUCUCUCCAAUUCUGCCUAUAAUCUCAAAGGAUCCUACAUUAUCGAGAGGCCAAUUUAUCUUUCUUGCCAAACCGCAUCACACCAUGUAUGAGGAACAUUUUCAAGAAUACAUACUCUCUAACACUGUACACCACGUGCUUCCGCUUUCGAUCUGCAUAACUUUUCUACCCGGUCGCGAAAAAUAUGAAGCUUUUCUGAAGUGAUAUAAACUAACUUUGGUUCUCCUAACUUUUAUUCAUCAACCUCUUCCCUACACACAGGAGAUCUGCACUUCCGGUUAUACAAAAGGGGUCAUCUCGAUGCUUACAUGGUAGCUGUUGUUAUACGCGAAUUCAAUCAACAGUAGGUACCAAUUUCAUUGACCACCAAAAUUUAUCACGCAUAUCCGAAGCAUAUCCUUGAAGGUCUUAAUUGUUUUCUUCGACUGUCCUUCAGUCUGGGAGUGAAAAGGCUGUAUUGAAGUCCAAUCCGGUACCAAGCUCUUUUUGUAGCUUUCUCCAAAACCUCGAGAUGAACUACGGUUCUCUAUCAAAUACUAUAAAAAUAGGAACGCCAUGAAGACUAACAAUUAUCUCCAGAUACACUCAUGCAUACUUAGCCACAAAAUAAGUAGUCUUUACCGGAAGGAAGUGCGCUGACUUAGUCAAUCGGUUCAGAAUUAUCCAAAUAGAAUCAUAACCAGUCGAAAUCUUGGGUAAACCUGAUACAAAAUCCAUAGUAAUCCUUUGCCAUUUCUACUCUAGUAUGAGAAGCGGUUGCAAUAAUCGUGACGACUUCUGAUACUCUAAUUUUAUCUGCUGACACGUUAGACACAAACUCUGCCACAUCCUUUUUCAUUCCAUUCCACCAAUAAUUUCCUUUCAAAUCAUUAUACAUCUUGGUGGAGCCCAGAUGUAUGCUGUAAGCCGUAUAGUGAGCUUCUUCUAAAAUCUUCUUUCUGAGAUUAUCUACAUCGGAAACACACAGCCUAGUUCCCAUUCUGAGAGUACUACCAUCAUCUAUAACAAAAUCAUUAGAUCGAUCCUACUGUACUUCUUUAAAGAUUUUUCAUAACUGUGGCUCCUAAUUCUGAGCUAACUUGAUUCUAUCAACGAGCACAGACCUAAUCCUGAAAUGUGCUAACAGUGCUCUCAAUUCCAAUACCUCCAUCUGUAACCCUUGAUUGUACAAUUCUUACAACUCUCUACUUAGGGGUCUCUUCUCUCCAUUGACAUGAGCAAGGCUACCUAUUGACUUCCUGCUCAAGGCAUCUGCCACGAUAUUAGCUUUACUUGGAUGGUAGAGAAUAUUACAAUCAUAACCUUUCAGAAGCUCCAACCAUCUCCUCUGUCUUAGAUUCAAUUCCUUCUGCUGAAAAAUAUACUUCAAGCUUUUGUGGUCCCUAUAUAUCUCGCACGUCUCACCAUAGAGAUAGUACCUCCAGAUCUUUAAUUCAAAGAUUACUGCUACCAUCUCCAAAUCGUAAGUAGGAUUAUUCUGCUCAUGCCUCUUCAAUUGUCUGCAUGCAUUAGCCACUACCUUACCAUUUCACAUCAGGACGCAACCGAAACCCACUCUGAAAGCUUCAUAAUACACCGUGAGUCCACGAGUUCCAGAGGAUAAGGUCAAUACCGAAGCUGAAGUUAAAUAGUCUUUCAACUUCUGGAAACUUCUUUCACACACGUCAGUCCAUUGGAACCUGACAUUCUUUUGAGUCAACUUAGUCAAAGGUGUUGUUAUCCUCUAAAAGUCCUACACGAAUCUAUGUUAGUAGCCUGCCAAUCCUAGAAAGCUACGCACCUCAGUCACUGUGGUCGAUCUCUGCUAGUCAGUCACCGCCUCUACUUUCUUGGGGUCCACUUGGAUACCGUCUCUAAACACAACAUGUCCGAGAAAGGCAACAUUUUCUAACCAAAACUCGUACUUAGAAAACUUAGCGUACAAUUGAUGCUCACUCAAAGUCUGAAGUACCAUCCUCAGAUGCCACGCAUGCUCCUCUUCGCUUCUGGAAUACACCAAGAUAUCAUCAAUGAAUAUAAUGACAAAACGGUCUAAGAACUGCUUGAACACCCAAUUCAUCAUAUCUAGAAAGGUUGCAGGAGCAUUAGUGAGUCCAAACGACAUUACCAGGAACUCAUAAUGCCCAUGACAUGUCCUGAACUUCGUCUUCCGCAUGUCUUCCUCACGGAUCCUCAACUGGUGAUACCCCAAUCUCAAAUCAAUCUUGGAAAAGCAUGUGGCUUCUUGAAGCUGAUCCUUUAGAUCAUCGAUGCGAAGAAGUAGAUACUUGUUAUGAAUCGUCGUUUUAUUCAGCUGCCGGUAAUCAAUACAGAGGCGCACAGUAUCAUCCUUCUUCACGAACAUAACAGGAGCACCCCAUGAAGACGUACUGGGUCUGAUAAAACCUUUAUCCAGGAGGUCCUGCAACUGCUCAUUUAACCCCUUUAACUCGGCUGGUGCCAUUUGAUAGCGCGAUAAAAAAAUAGGUGUCAUACCCGGUACCACGUUGAUACAAAACUCUAUCUCUCUAUUAGGCAGUAAUCCUGGUAGCUCUUCUGGAAAUACAUCGGGAAACUCGCAGACCACCUGAACAUCCUCAACACUAUCUUUUUCUGCCGAGGUAUCCCUGACUAAAGCUAGAUAUCCCUGACACCCACGGUGAAGCAUCAGCCUAGCUGUAAUAACUAACACGAGAUUCGAUGGAGUAGGUACUUGCUCGCCUUUAAAAUGAGACACCGAGUCUCCCAGAAUUUGAAAAGUUACUUGCUUUUCCCAGCAGCCCAUCAUGACAUAAUGCAUAGCUAACCAAUCCAUUCUCAAAAUUACGUCGAAAUCCAUCACGUCCAACAGAAUUAAAUUGGCAACUAAAUCCCGACCCUCAACUGACACCGGACACAAUGGAAAUACAACAUCGGUCUCUAGGGCGUCACUUAUCGGCGUAGUGACCGACAUUGAAACUUGGAGUCUAACUGGUUAGACAUCAAAUGUUAAAGUAAAACUAGGCGAUACAAAAGAAUGGGUAGCCCCAGAGUCUAACAAAACUCUAGCUUCAGAAUAGCAUAUAGGGAUAAUACCUGACACCACAGCAUUAGAGGCUCGUGCAUCCUAAUGAGUGAGUGUGAACACUCUCGCCUGCCCAUGGCCUGAAGCCUGACUCUAAAAUCUGCUCCUAGAUCGGCUCCAUUAGACCUACCUCCAGAACCACGGCCCUGGUGAUAUUCCGGAGCUGAAAAAAAAACUGGUCGGGUCACACUAGCAGACGAGUCCUGAGAAAAAGUUGGCUGGCUAAAGUAGCAAGGACAUGCUCAAGCCAUAUGUCUCAUCUCUGCCACACCUGAAACAGGCUCCGCUCAAAGUCAGGCACUGUCCCUGAUGUGACCUGCCGCACAUCUGACAGGUGUUAGCUCCAGAACUAGAGCUGUUGUAGGCAGAACUCUGCCUACUGCCACUAAAGCCCUGCUCUGGCUUGAAUCCUCUACUACCCUUCUGGUUAUGUCUACCCUUCUUGUGAGUAUGGUAGCCUCUUUGCCCGGCCUGCUGGUUGGAACCUCCAGAGUAGCCUCCACUGUCUUAAUACGGCACAACUGGCUGUGCACUGGACUAACCCUCCAUCCUGGUCUUCUUUUUCCUUCCAUCAUCAAUCCCCUGGCCAAAUCCUCGUAGGGUCAUCUCCAUCUGCCUAGUCAUUAAGUCACUUCUAGGAAGCUGCUCGUCCUAGACUGAACCAAUGAGACAUACUCUGGACCAAAUCUUAAUAUAUACUUGUUAUUCUUCUGCUUCUCGGUCCCCACAACAUAGGGCGCAUACCUACUUAGCUGCACAAAUUGUCUAGUGUACUCUGCCACUGACAAGUCUCCCUUAACUAGUCUCUCAAAUCUCUCUAUGUACUCCUGCCUCACGCUAAAAGGAAUGAAGUACUCCUCAAAUCUGUCUCUGAACUGCCUCCACGAUAAUCCAUCCAAAGAAGGGCGGAUAUGGUCUCUGAACCAGUGAGAUGCUAUCCCCUUCAAAAGAAAACCGGCCAUCUCGAUGGUUCUCUUGUCAGAACAGUGCAAAUCUGAUGUCAUUUUUUCAACCUCAUCCAGGAAGUCCAAAGGAUCCCUAGAUGUCCUAUCAAAUUCCAUGGGUCUCAACUUAGUAUACUCCGACAUGGGAACCUCGUCCGGAUUCCUGAUACCGGACCCAUUAUCGCAGCUCCCUAAACCUUGGACAGCCUGCUGCUGUUAAAAAGCUAACAACUGCUCUAAAGUCCUCUGCAUCCCAGUCAUACCGGCUACGAACACUUCCACAAGGACUCCACCAGCACCGUGUGCCUCCUGAGCCUCGCCUUAAUCUGGUUGGGCUACCGCUCGAGGCCUACCUCGCCUCCUGGUAUCACGGGCUGGGGCUGGUGGGGCCGACUGAGUGGAAACCUCAUCUUAGCCCUUUUGGGGCACUGCUGCUGCUGCAGCCGCUCGAGUCCUCGGUAUAGCAGGGGCUGAAAAUAAACAACAAGAUAUCAAAUCCAACAGACUCUCUAACAUAUAGUACAAAUACUAGAAUCAAUAAAACACGCAAGGACGGGCUCGAUUCCUAACUCCGCAGUAGUUAAGGAAGCUAACCUAGGUCAAAGGAGAUCUAAACCUAGGCUCUUAUACCAACUUUGUCACGACUCGAUCUAUGGGUCCAUGACCGGUAUUAGGGAAUGUGUAGGCUUAAGGCCACCAAGACCCGUAGUAAGCCUUACUAGUCGAUAUUUCAAAUAUACAUAUAAAAACAUAAUAUUAUACCAGUCUGACAUGCCAUAUACAAGUCUCUAACUGAACAAUAAUAACACUUCAUAAUUUGCUACAGUCCACAUCAAAUUUCAUUUUUCUUUUUUUUAAUAUUUAUUUAUUUAUUUAUUAUUAUUAUUAUUUAUUAUUUAUUAUUCUUUUUCUUCCGGAUACAUUAAAUUUCAAAAUGAGCAGCAAUAAAUGAUUAAACCUUGCUACUUUUAUUUUUAAUUGAAAAGAGAUGACACUAAAGUAUCAAUAUUUUAGAGUUAUGUCUACUAUCUUUUACCUUAAAUUAAUGGUUAAAUACAUAUUUAUACUAACAAUUACAUAUAUAUUUAUACUCUUGAACUCAUAUUGAUUAGUUAAUUUAAUAUUUUGAUUUUAAUUUAAUAAACACUUAAAUUUUAUUUUCUUACUCGUUCAAAAAUUACAAAAAUAUAUUUUAUAAGUCCCAUUUAAAUUUUGAGUCCUACAUGAACAAAUUCCUGUUCUAAUUCAAAAUUCUAUUAUUAUAAGUUUUCUGGUGUCUUCAAUUUUCAAACCUUCAUGCUUGAGCUUCUACCCUAUAAGAUUAUGGUUCAAAUUAGAAAAAUAUUUUUCUCCAAGUUGAAGUUAGAUUUGAAGUCAUACACAAAAUGACAAAUUUUAAAAAAUAUACAUAUAAAAUAGUUUUUGGACCUUUGUUUGGAACUUUUAGAUAACCUAAAUGGCAACUUGCAAGCUCGUAUACUAUUACUUGUUGGGUGAGCCCACUAAAUAGAGCAAUCAUGAGCAAUGCAGAGACCAAGAAUUGACUCUUUUUCUUUUUAUUAUUUUCACUUUUUACAUCGGCUCUAUUAAUUCUGAUUAGUUUCGAUUUUUAAUCAGGUCUAUCUAUUUCUAAAUUAGUGAGUUUAUUGAUAAAAAUCAUGGAAAGGAAUAAUCAUUAUCUUCUUAUUUCCCUCUCUCUUUUCUUUUCUCUUUUUCUUUUCUAAGAAAAAAAUCUUAUCAUCAAGUUGAUAUAUUUUUUUAAUAUUUCGAUAGAAUAUAUUUCUUUUUAACAUUUUAAUAAAAGAUCCAAAAAUAUAUACACAGGUGAGAUGGUGAGUUAAUAUAUAUUUUAUUAAAAAGAUAGUGAAUUAAUAUAGAAUUUUAAAAGUUUAAAUUAAAUUUAAAAAUAAGUAGCAAUAAAUGAUUAAACCUUACUACUUUUAUUUUUAAUUGAAAAGAAAUAACACUGAAGUAUCAAUCUUUAUUUUAAGUCUGAGAAAAUCAUUUUUUUAGAUGGAACGAAAAAUUAUUUACUUUAAGGAGUUAUCUUAUAAAAUAAUACUUAAAUAUCUUUUUAAAUAUAAAAUAAAAAAAUUAGUUUGGUCCUUCACAUUUUUAAUUUUAAUAAUGUAUUACAAAUUAUAUAAUUUUAUUAAUUAAUAUUACGUGAUACAAUACCAAUAAACACCUAAAACAAAUUCUGAAAUUCCAAAAAGGUCCAAAAAGAGAGCCGUGGUGGUAUUUGAAUCACCACAUUCUAGUGAACGAAACCCUCUUCUGUUUCGCAAAGCCCAAACUCUAACCUUGUGAAAACCUCCCCAGUCUCCUUCUUUUCCCCCUUUUUUUUCUCCCUCCUCUCUCUCUCUCUCUCUCUCUCUCUCUCUCUUCUCUUCUCUUCAAUCUCUAAAUCCUUUCCCCAAAUUCAAUUUUGCCUAAUCUUUGUUUUUGGGAGAUUUAAGGGUUUUGUAUCUUUAUCCCUCUGUUUAUCGAUAAGAUCUGCUGCUCAAAUCUUAUCUAAGUCAUGGCUACUGUUGCUCCUUCUGCUGAGAGUAUCCUUUUACUAAUUUUAUUAUAUGUGUUUACUUGAUUUAUGGGUUUUCUCUCUCUAACUUGAUCUGUUUGUUUUGGAUCGAAUUGGGUUUUUAUCUAGGGUUUCAGUAGAGUUUUGUGUUUGGUAAGCUCUUUAUUAUUAGUUUAUCAGCAUUCUCUGGCGUGGUGAUUUUUUUAAUUUUUGUUUGUUAUGCCCUUUAGGUUUAGGUCUGAGGGAUGCGUAUUUGUAUGCUUUAAAAUAGUAAUAUUUAGUGUUUUGUUUUUGUAAUUAAUAUAAAUAUGCAGAUGGGGAUUUUGUUUGCUGCUUUAUUCUUUUAUCCAUGGUCAAAACACAAGAGAAAAACUGUGUUCCCUUUACUUUGCUUUUAUAUAGAAACUGCAGAUUUGCUCCAGAAUUUAUAACUGGAUUCUCAAACAAAGCCCUUGGAAAUUCCUGAGCCAACUAAGAAGGUAACAUGUAUAUCUUUGUAUCAUGUUAUUAUGGAUUUCAGGGCAUAAGCUUUCAACUAUGGGAAUUGAAUAUGUAAUUUGAAUAUUGUUUUAUAAAUUAUAUGCAAACUUCUGUUUACCAAUAUGGGGCUGUUGACUCGGGUAUAAAUUUAUCACUAGAUUCUCAAUCUAAAUAUGUGUACCCCUAUCCAAUCCAAACUUUCGUCAAGGAUCAAUUUCUUCCUACUUUAUUAUCUUACAGGAAAUCCACACUCUAAUUCCCUUUCAGCUUAAGAAUGCUAUAUAAAAAUUGCAACCAAAUCCAUCUCCUUUUCCACAAUCAUUUAUCUUUAUGCAAUCAUGACUCUUUCUACCGUGAUAACUUAUAAUAACUUCUUGUUCCUUCAGUGUCUUUGUUGUAACCGAUAUACUUGUUUUUCUAUUUUUUUCAAGCAGCAUUAAAAUUCAAUAAGGAAAAAACAGCUUGCCUAUAAUGCUUACUAGUCUAUUCAUUUAUGCUCAUAAGAGAAAUCAAUAAAUAAAUAGUAAGGUUAGUUAAACUCUAUUUAAUAAAGAUGAAAAUUGAAAAGCUAACCAACAUUUUCAAAAUUCCAAGUCAAUUCGAUCUCGUAAUGAAAAAAAAUAGACUCUAACCAAUAUAUCUUCAAUCUUUAACUGAAAAUUUUAAUUUCAUGCAUAAAAGAGGUGAUAACAUGAAAGGAAAGGUAAUCAUGUAUGUGGCAAAUACAUGUAAAACUAAGAUAAGUUGCAAAAAUUACGUCGAUUGAUAAACAAACAAAAAAAUUGAAGAUACAAUUGAAGAAACUAAAGAUCAAGAAAAUGGGUGAAGUGUCUUUCUUGUUUCCUUGUUUAUGGUUAUCUCCACUUCUGAAAUGAUUUUACUGGAAAUUACAAAUUGAAUCUUGGAGCAGUUAAAGACUGGAGAGAGAGAGAUAUUUGAUCGAUAAAAGAGAUGCAAAAUAGAGCAUGAGUAUAGACUUCUUGGACCGAGAUGCUAAGGUCUAAUGGGUUUAAUUCAGCUAUAACGGCGUCGUGUUAUUUGUGGGCUUCAUUAUCCUAAGAGAGCACGAAGUUGAUCAAAUGGCUCGAGCUUUUUCUAGUGUACCUUUUUGGUAUGACCUUGUUCAACGACUCGGGAAACUCGUUGAAGACUCACNNNCUUGUGGUAGGCUCACAGCCUAUAUGUACUUCACGGGUAAUGAAGAAAGUUGGGGUAAUGAAGCCCACAAGUAACACGAUGCCGUUAUAGCUGAAUCAAGCCCAUUAGACCUGAGCAUCUCAGCCUAAGAACUCUAUACUCGUGCUCUGUUUUGCAUCUCUUUUAUCGAUCAAAUAUCUCUGUCUCCAGUCUUUAACUACUCUAAGAUUCAGUUUGUAAUUUAUAGUAGAAUCAUUUCAGAAGUGGAUAUAACCAUAAAGAAGGAAACAAGAAAGGUACCUCACCCAUUUUCAUGAUCUAUAGUUUCUUUAAUUGUAUCUUCGGUCUUUUUCUUUGUUUAUCAAUACGCGAUUACCUUUCUUUUCAUGGUAUCACCUCUUUUGUGUAAGAAAUUAAAAUUUAAAGUUAAAAGGUUGAAGAUAUAUUGAUUAGAGUUUAUUUUGUUUCAUUGCGAGAUCAGAUUGAUUUCGAACUUUGAAAAUGUUGGUUAGCUUCUUGAUUUUCAUCUUUAUUAAAUGGAGUUUAACUAACCUUACUAUUUAUUUCUUGGUUUCUCUUGUGGGUAUAAAUUAAUAGAUUAGUAAGCAUUAUAGGCAAACUGUUUUUUUCUUUCAUUGCACUUGCUGUGUGUCUUGAAAAUUGAAUGGCAAAUUUAUUGAAUCUUAAUGCUGCUUGAAAAAAGAGAAAAAAAAGUAUACUGGUUACAACAAAGACACUGAAAGAACAGGAAGUUAUUAUAACUUAUCAUGGUGGAAAGAAUCUUAAUUGCAUAAAGAUAAAUCAUUGUGGAAAAGGAGAUGGAUUUGAUUGCAAUUUUUAUAUAGCAAUCUUAAGCUGAAGGGGAAUUAGAGUGUGGAUUUCCUGUAAGAUAAUAAAGUAGAAAGAAAUUGAUCCUUGAUGAAAGUUUGAAUUAGAUUAGGGGUACACAUAUUUAGAUUGACCGAGCAACUUUUCAUGAUUUACCAGAUAGUGGAAAUCUUUAGGCAGGUAAUAAAUGAAAAAGAGGAAAAGCAGGAAAAUAAUGAUAUCAAAUGAGAAUUUUGACCUUUAAUUUAGAAAAAAGGACUGACUUAGAAGCAAAUCUUGGUGCUUGAACAUUGUCAUGCUGAGUUGCUGCUCUUUGAUAUAUCUUUUUUUAUGAAAAUUUUUUAAAAUAUUCCAGAUUUUAAUUUUUGAUCAUUUCUCAAUAGAUGGUGGAUCGAUAUUGGAUUGGUUUCUCUCUGGUGCUUUCAUGUCUUGUUCAAGUUUUAGAUGCCAGUGCCGGUGAUGCCGAUUCAGUCUACAGGUAUAUAUUCUUUGUUUCCCUUGCUUUUUAUUUUAGAACUGGUGUUUUAUCAUUUUAGGCUUUGCUCUAGAUCAUUUCCCAAGCUUCACAAUUGUGAAAUGUGCUCAAGGUUUUGCGUUGGUCUUCCUAUGAUUCACCUUAUACAUGUAAAGUCAUUUACUAGGAUAUUGACAUUUACUAGUUCAUACUCUAUUGAUGUUAUUGCACAUGUGCUUCAGGGUUAAUCCUCCUUUUGCUGCUUCAGGGGAAUUUGUGAGACUACAAAUUAAUUUUUCAUGUUAACUGAGGAUUUAAUCAAAAUGAUGCCUGGAUCCAUCUAAAGCUAUUUGAUUAUAGUUUUAAUGUCGACAUAAACUGGUUAGAUCCCAAGUUUUUCAUAAAAACACAUGUACAACCACAUACAUAAAUGUGUUUAUGCAGCACUCUCAUUUUGUGUGUACUUGAAUUACGUGACUUGAUAUUUUGAGACUUCACCACUUGCCCAUUUUGCUCAAUUCUCGCUGGAAAUAUUAAGAUCAGUGCCCUUUUUAUGAAAGAUCUGCUAGAUGUGCUCCAAUCAUUGCUAUGACUAGUCAGCAUAAUAUCUCAUUUUCCAGACAUGCAUCUUAUGUUUUCUCCAUCCUGUCAUACAUAUUGAGAAAAUAUGUGUGCUUUGUAAAGCAACUUGUCUGUAAUGGUAAAUGUGUUAUACAUGCAUUACUUGUUAUUCCAUAUCUUAGCCCACUUGUUUCAACAGCCAAGCACCAAUCCAAAAUUUACAAUGUACUUUCAGAUAGUAUACUUUUCAGUGGCUUUACUUUUUUUGGUUUUCUUCUGCUGGUGACUGUAUUAUGCAUCCCUCAUGGUAUCUGUUGAAUUCUUUUCUUAGCAUUUGUUUUGGAAUUGAUUAAUCUGCUUCUAUUUAUCAUGGUUGGGAUCUUCUACGUGCAUUGAAAAGGGUUCAGUAUGUGGAUAGGUGAUAUACUUUUUAUGUUACUGGUAUUUAGGGCUUGUGUUGGACAAUGUGAAAAAUCUGGAUGUGUGGGUCAAAGAUGCUUUUCGCACUGCAAGUUUUCUUCAGAUGGCGUCUCAAUUGAUGGUCCAUGGUAUAUGCAAGAACCUCUUUACUUACGAUGGAAGCAAUGGGAUUGCGAAAGUGACUGUCGCUACCACUGUAUGCUCGAUAGAGAAAAGGAAAGAGAAGCACUUGGCCAUGGUCCUGUCAAGUAUCAUGGUAAAUGGCCCUUCAACCGUGUAUACGGAAUUCAGGUUUGCUGUUCAGUAAAAUCGUCGUUAGUAUUUCUUUUCUUUUUUUGCCGAAGGUAAUUCAGAUCUUACCACAGUUUUCUGGACUGCGCAUCUUGACUGGUUAUUAUGUACAGGAGCCUGUCUCUGUAGCUUUCUCUGCACUGAACCUUGCUAUACAUUUCCACGGCUGGCUUUCAUUUUUCAUUCUUCUUAAUUAUAAGUUGCCACUUAAACAAGAUAAGAAAGGUGUACUAUGAAUAUGCGACUCUGUGGCAUAUCUAUGGGCUCUUAUCAAUGAACUCCUGGUUCUGGAGUUCAGUUUUCCACAGCCGGUAAGCUUAUUCUCCUUUACAUCAGGAUAAGCAUCUGCAAGACAUCUGCAAGCAUAUUGUUUUUUUUAUAUAUAUAUUUUUAUUUUCAUUGCAAAGACAUGCAAACAUAUCUUAUAGAUAGGUCAGAUCUUUCAAUUUCUUAUAUUGAUUGUGUACUUUAAAUGUAGAGAUGUGGACUUGACAGAGAGGCUGGACUACUCUUCUGCAGUUGCAUUAUUGGGUUACUCGCUCAUUUUGGCUAUACUAAGAACUUUAAAUAUAAGAGUUGAAGCAAAAAGGGUCAUGGUUUCUGCUCCACUUAUUGCGUUCGUAAUUACUCAUAUAUCAUUCCUCAAUUUCUAUAAGAUGGAUUACGGUAAUAUAUCUGUCCUCUUAUAGCUAUCAAGUCCAAAGAUUAGUACAGAGUUAUAUUCUGAAUUAUGUAGAGUAGCUUUCCAUCACGGUGUCCUGAGGUUUUCUUUGACCCCAUCUGAUAUGUUUGUUGUGUUAUUGCACAUCACAUUUGAAAGCUAAGAUGGUAUAGGGUUUGGGGGGGGGUUUGAAUGGCUGCUUGUUCCUUUAGGGAACAAUGCAACGGUACUGUUUGUGCAGGGGGCUUAAGAGGUGGAGAGAGAGAGAGAGAGCUGUGCCUUUGAAUUUUUAAUUUCUCCCAGCUCUGUAAUGCAAAUGUUGUCAAAGUUUAUGGUGACGAACUGACAAGACUGUAAAUACUUACUUUACAGGAUGGAACAUGAAAGUAUGUGUCGUCAUGGGAGUGGCUCAGCUUCUCAUAUGGGCAAUUUGGGCUGGUGUCAGCCGUCAUCCUUCUCGGUGGAAGUUGUGGAUGGUGGUCGUAGGAGGUGGGCUUGCAAUGCUUUUAGAAAUCUAUGAUUUCCCUCCAUAUAAAGGAUUUAUAGAUGCCCAUGCUCUUUGGCAUGCCACCACUAUCCCUCUUACCUACAUCUGGUGGAGUUUCAUCAGAGAUGAUGCUGAGUUCCGUACCUCUAGCCUCCUUAAAAAGGCCAAGUAGUAGUUCAUGGCGAAACUGAUAAAUAUGACCUGACAAGGAAGGAAAAAAACCACCGAUAGUUUAUAGGAUUUUGUAUUCGUUGUUUUCUUGUAAUAAUAUUUGAUUUUCUUAUUAAAAAAGAGGUACUAAAGGGAUAGGAAUUGCUUAGUAUGAUAUUAAAUUUGGAGUGAGAUUUUGAUUUUAAGUGUUUGUGAUGGAAUGAGAUUAUGUUUUUGUGCAGUGGAAUGUAGGCAAAAGCUAAGUGAGGCAUAUCCUUUAUGAGUAUUCUUCAGAGAGGAAUAAUGGCUUUGUGCAGGCUAGUCAACUGCUUUAGAGAUUUUCUUUUUCUUUUUUAAGUAUGAAUAAAGAUUUCCCUUUUUUGACACAUCAGUUUUAGAAAGAUACAUAACCAGAAAAGAAUAUAUAUAUAUAUAUAUAUAUAUAUAUAUAUAUAUAUAUAUUAAUAUUAUAUUAUAUAUGAAAUAUUGUGCAUUGGAAUAUUACAAAUGCUUCGUCCAUUUUAUAAUAUCCGAAAGGACUUUGCAAGGCUUAAGUUGGCCAACCUGUCCGCCACUUGGUUCUGUAUGUUCUAUUAAAAGAAUCAAUGCACAUACAUUUACAUUUAAUUAUUAGAGUUUUAUUUAUUUUAAUUGUAAAUAUUUCAUUUUAUACAACAAUUACGGCCUAACGUUCACUGGGACUUUAAAAUGAUAAUAUUCAACAAACUCUUCUCAUAUCGUGUAUGUAAUAGACUUAGUCUUUCUAUUAACGAACCGUGCGGCACUAGCUAUUUUCUACAAUUAAACAAAUAAACUAGUCAGUUUUAUUCUUCAAAUGCUAGGCAAAAUGCUAGCUAAGAUAGCAAGAAGAACAACAGAGAGCUUGAAAUAAUUUGGAUAGCUUUUAUUACAAAAAGAACUUGCUUGAGUUUCUCCUUGAUGGUUACAAAUGAAGUUCUUAAGCUCUUUAUAGGUCCCCACCUCCUCAAUGGACAGUCAUAAUUAAUUUGAUCUAAUGGCUAAAAUUAAGUAUCCAGAAUUUUCUAUAUAAUUCUAUACUUAUCUACAUAUUUUACAUGUCUCUAAAUUGUUCUAGAAUGUUCUAGAAUCCUCCUUUGUCUUCUAAAGAAUUCUAGAGACUUCUUCGUCCUUUGAACCUCAUUUGAGUAGGGAAAACUUGUAGGUUGUGACAUUCUCUCCCACUCUGGCAACACCCUCGUCGCGUCCUCCUUAUAUGCCUCGAUUAAGUCAUUGAAGUUCCACAAAGUGAGCUCGUGCUCCCAACUAGCUUUACUUUUGGGCAAUCCUUUCCACUUCACAAAAUACUUAACAUAGCUUGGAUGGGAACCCAUUCUUGGUAUAUGACCCAAUGUGCAAUUAUCUCUUUGGCUUCCUUCUCGGCUACGGUUGUGAUUGUUGUUGGAGCUCUCUUCGACUUGCCCCUACUUGGAUCUUCCUUCGUCUUCAUAGUAGGGCUUCAAUAAGCUCACAUGAAACACAUGGUGCAUUUCUAAGUGCGACGCAAGCUUCAAUCGAUAAGCUAGCUUCGCAACUCGUCGCUCUACUAGAAAAAGACCUUCAUAGCGCCUUAAUAGUCCUUUAUGCACCUUUGCGAACCUUCGACUUUGAUGGGGAAGGAGCUUUACCAUCACUAAGUCUCCUUCCUCAAACUCUAAGUGCCUCCUCUUUCCAUCCGCCCAUUUCUUCAUUCUCUUGGCAGCCUUGGUUAGAUGAGCGCGUGCCAUAUCGGUUUUAUCAUGCCAUCCUUUGACAAACUUGAAUGUUGCAGGACUAGGGCCUUUAUACCCUACGGCUAGUAUGUGUAGAGUCAAUGGUUGUUGUCCCGUGGCAAUCUCGAAUGGACUCACCCCUGUUGAUUCACUCUUCUGCAAGUUAUAUGAGAAUUAGGCAACAUCGAGCAACUUUGCCCAAUCACUUUGGUUGGCACUCACAUAAUGCCUCAAGAAUAACUCUAUUAAGGCAUUCACCCUCUCCGUUUUUCCAUCGGUUUGGGGAUGAAAGCUUGUAGAGAAGUUAAGCUCGAACCCCAUAAGCUUAAAUAACUCCAUCCAAAACCUUCCAUCUAAGCGAUCUUUGGUAUUGCCCCAAUAUUUCACCAUAUGUUUAAAAAAUACGCGUGCUGCAUCCUCGGCCGCGAACUUUGUAGGCACAGGAAUGAACACUCCAUAUUUGCUAAAGCGGUCCACAACUACCAUAAUGUUACUACAUCCUGCAGACUUUGGUAGGCACGUGAUGAAAUCCAUGGAGAUACUUUCCCAGUGCCUCUCUAGAACUAGUAAUGGCUUUAACAAACUAGUGGGCUUGUUUUGCUCCACCUUGUCUUGUUGACACACAAGACAAGUCUUGACAUAAAGCUCAAUGUCGUCCCGCAUCUGGGGCCAAUAGCAUCAACGCUUCACAAGUGCCAACGUGCGAUACGUGCCUGGAUGUCUUGCCCAUUUUGGACCAUGGCACUCUUUGAUGAUGGUCUUCCUCAAGCCUUCCCAUUUCGGCACAUAGACUCUAUUUCUCUUAGUAACGAGCACCCCAUCCUUUAGCCAAAAUUGGCGAGUCUUUCUUUUCUUCGCCAAUUCUACCAAAUUCUUGGCUUACGGGUCAUGCUCGAGUCCUUCAACAAUCCACCAAAGGAAAGUUAGCGCUAGUGAUGGAAGCCAACUCUGCCUCUCUACUUAGUGCAUCAGCCACUAAGAUUGCCUUUCUCAGCUUGUACUCUAUCACAAAGUCGAACUCCACAAGGAAUGCUUGCCAUCUUACUUGCUUCGGAGUUAGUUUCUUUUGAAAAAGUAUAGGUGCUCCAUAGGGUGCCUUGGAUGGCCUAAUGUAGCCAGCAUCCAACAACUCUUUUAGUUGUCUUUGCAACUCCUCUAACUUAGGAGGCACCAUGCGAUAAGAGAUUGCCGCAGGUGGACUUGCACUUUCUACCAACUCAAUCUUAUGGUCCCCCUAUCUCUUCGGUGGGAGCUUCUUUGGUAACUCCGCAGGCAUUAUGUCCUUGAACUCUUCUAGGAUACCCGUGAUCUCCUUAGGCGCUUCAUCUUGCGGCAUGGUUUCCACUCCUUCCUUUAGUGCCGCAAGGAAUGUGGGUUGAGCCUUCUUUUCCCCCUCGGAUAGUUUCAUGGCUGAGAUUUGCAUGGCUUCUAGCUUGGCUUCUCGUGUCAGUGGUACCAUGCAAGUAUAUCCUUGCUCUACGAUGCACGGAGUGUUGGCAAAUGGAAGUGGGAAUGAGUUUACUUUGUCUAGAAAUUCUAUGCCAAGCACCAUUUUAUAAUCAUCCAUCAUAACAAUGGAGAAGUCCAAGAGGCCAGACCACUCACCUAGGCUUACUUUGAUGUUUCGUGCAACUCUAUAUGUCACACACCGAAUUGACAGCCUUGAGCCACCCUUGCUCCUUUGUAUACUUGAUGCCAAGUCUUUCUACUUCUUUUACCUUAAGGAAAUUGUUGUUAGCCCCGGUAUCCAAUAAUGCUUCUAUCGUGUGGCCUUCAACCUUCGUCUCGAUGAACAAUCGACCAUUCUUUUCGGACUUAGGUAUCCCGAAUUUGGCUUUGAUGGCACUAAGGAGUUGCAAUGAUCCCAUCUUGGACCCCUCUUGUUCUCGUUGGUGCUCUUCCUUUUCUUCGACCAAUGCAGAGAGCUUGCUCUUCGUAGGGCACUCCCUUGCCUUAUGCGGUCCAUCGCAGAAGAAACACUUGAGACGUGGCCUGUCUCCGCCUUUGUCAUCCUUGUUACUAUGGUUGCCUCCCUCUUUGGGCUUGCCAAACUUGUAGGAACCUUCCUUCUUGUGGUGGCGGUCUCCCUCACUCUUUCUCUUAUCGUUCCUAUCUUGGUCGGGCUUGUGCUUGUCUUGCCUCUUAAUCUCUAUUAGGGAUUCGGCCACGGCAAUGGUAGUGUUGAGGUCUUGGACACUAUGAUGCUCCAACUCUAACCUUGCCCAAAUCUGCAACCCAUCUGUGAAUGAAAAUAAGGCUUAUUCAUCUGUAUAGUUAGGAAUCUCAAGGAGUGUGUCUGUGAAUUCUUUAACAUACUCCUUUAUGCUUCCCUUAUGUGAGAGUCGUUGUAACUUGGCCCUUGCUUCUCUAAUAGCAUUGUCGGGGUAGAACUGUUUCUUGAGAUCUUCCUUAAACUCUCCUCAUGAGUUGAUAAUGCAUGUCCCUUUCUUUAUGUUUCCACUCCUCCUUCUCCAUCAUAGCAUUGUGGUAUCUUCAAGGAAGAGUGUGGCAGUGUCGACCUUUUUGGCUUCUUCUACUAAGCCAAGUGCCUUAAAGUAUUGCUCCAAGCUCCAUAAGAAAUUGUCAAUUUCUUUCGCAUUCCUUGAGCCCUUAUAAGCUUUAGGCUUUGGAACAUCUAUCUUUGAUGGAUUAAAGACUACCAUAGGCACGCUUCCUGUAACACCCCCAUCACAUGCUAACCAAUAAACAUUAGCCAGGAAGCAUACAAGCGUCGUAGAAUAUAUACUACAGGUAGAUAGGUCAAUAUGUAGGUUGUUAAGAAUCCAGACACAAGGUUAUUAACAUAUAAACAUAUGAUUAUACUUAAACAUCAUUUAACAAGUAUUACAAACAUCUUCUUAUGCCUUAUAAGGCAUACUUCCAUAUAUAUCACAUAACUGCAUACAAAAAUGCAUUAGGAGGAGACUUCACAAAACUGGCCCAACUUGACAGAACUGCUAAAAGCUAGACUUCGCAUACAACCAACGGAUGCACUACUAUUUACAAACCUGAAAAGAAAAAUUUUGGAGAGGGGUGAGCCUCCAGCUCAGUAAAUAAAUAAUCAACAUAAUCUAUAUCACAUACACUUAAUACAAUUUCCACCCAAUCACAUAACUUUCCAUGAUAUUCAUAGUUUAGGUAUAAAGUCAUACCAUUCUACUCAAUUCAUUACAACCAUCAUAGAAGAAAUACAAUUCAACAAUUAUGGUUAGUUCUCACGGCUUGUGGAUCCCCUUUAAUGUGCUGCUCUGCCUCAUCCUCACAUAUCACACACGUAAGCUGCUCUGCCUCAUCUCACAUUAUACACUUUUAUAGUCUCUCUAGGCUUUAGCCUCCCAAGGCUUUAUAUAUAUAUAUUUUUUUUUUCACAGGGGAAUCCACCAUUCACAUGCACAUAUGCACUUAACAUCACAAUUUAAUCAUUUCACUUAUAUCAUAUUUCAGCAAUAACAAUUGUUCCACUCAACACCAAUCAUUUCCAUCUCAGUCAUUCAAACAUAAACAAUAUUAAGCAAACGCAACCAUUUGUGGAACAUUUGAUUAAAUAUAUGAACAUAGCAAAUAUUAACUAUUUACUUACUCAAAAUAUACUUAUUCCUUUAGCAUAUAAGAACCUCCUUUCUCCACAACUUCCUUUCCAGGCCUUUGAGUACCUGUCAACACAUUCAUCAAUUCACAUUUCAUGCAUAUUACAAAUAUUCAUGUAAAUGCGAGUUCUAAUGCAUUACAAGAUCAUCCCCUCUCUAAUUCAUAGGUCUAACUCUUCCUCUAACACUCUCAAUUACUAUUUUAAUAUCCUAUAAAUAUUUUCCAUCUAGUUAAAUACCAAUUUAACUCAAAUUAACAUCAAUAAAUUGCAUAAAACUAAUCUCCAACAUUUCUGUUUUCUAGACAGAAUUUAGUACCAAGGUAUAUUUAUUGCUGGGCAAAAUUGGCUUAAUACAAAAAUCUCAUAUUAAAUAGACAUAUCCAUUUAUGCGUCUAGUUUCAUCUCCAAGAAGAAUUACUCAAUUCCGACUUCUAUAGAUUUAAUUAUUUUCAAAUUACUGAGCAAGGGUCAUACAGCUAGUUGUACCCGAGCAGCAAUCUGUUUGCUUAAUUUAAGCAACCAAAACGGAAAAAAUAGCAAAAUUACAAAACUACAAAGUUAUAGAGGACUCUUUAAAUUUCCAUAGACACCAAUUAAGCUUAAUUUGGACUUAUAUAACCCAUGUUAUACCUAAAAUACAGAACAUCAAGGUUGCUGGAAUUUUGACAGUUUUCUAUCUUAACAUACUUAAACUUAAAUCAAGCUUAAUCUUUAUGCAAUCAUUCAAUACUCUACUAAUUCAUGAUAAUCAGACCUUUAAUUAAUCAAUGAGAGCAUCAAAUGAAGUUUUUCCAAUUUGUAAUCAAGAACCCUAAUGACAAAUUAAGAACACUCAAGUAACAACUUACCAAUUUCAGCUUUUGGGUUGCUAAUAUGCUUAAAUCCUUUAGCUUUAGCUUGGCUCCUUCAAUAGUUAGCAAAAUCCUAUCUUAAUCUUAACUUUUUCUAGGUAUUACACUCCUCUCUCUUAUUCCAAAUUUUGUGUUUUUGGCCAUGUACGAAUUUUAGAGAAAUGAAGAGGUAAAAUGAGCUUACUCAUGGUUCCAAUUUCCAAUAUUCCUCUCUUAAUGCCACCACCUACUAAACUAUUUUUAUCACCCUAAAUUAAUUCUUACUAACCAUAUAUAGGUACUAACUUUUAAUUGUAUCUUUUAAGUCCAAUCUAUUUACCCAACCUUCAACUAUUGGUUCAAUUAAGUCUUAAGGCUUAAUACACAUAACACAAGUACUUAAUCAACUUAUCUAAAUUAAUAAUCUAAUAUCAUGCUUCUUAUUCUCUACUUAUAAUUAAUAUAUAUAUGUUCUCAUAAAAUAAAAAUAUCAUUGAUAUACCAUCAUAUGCCCAAUGAUUAAAUGUAAAUGCACAUAACAUGGAUGAUGAGAAAAUGCAGGCGUUACACUUCCAUUCCUUAAGAAAUUUCACGUCCCUCGACCUUCCUCUCUCCUUCUUGGAUGGCUUGGACCCUUCAAGUUGGUCCUUCACAGACUCACUGUGAGGUUGCCUUACCUCCUCGGUAACUUUGGUAGUCUCACUUACUUCCGAUGUCUUUGCCAUACUUGCUUCUUCAAGGAUUGUGCUAACCUUGCUCUAAUACUAACUGUCACGAAGUUGGUCUUUCUACCACCAAACCGCGCGGCACUAGCUACUUUCUACACUCAAACAAGUAAGCUAGUCAGCCUUACUCCUCGAAUGCUAGGCAAAAUGCUAGCUAAGAUAGCAAGAAGAACAACAGAGAGCUUAAGAUAAUUUGGAGAGCUUUUAUUACAAAGAGAACUUGCUUGAUUUUCUCCUCGAUGGUUAUAAAUGAAGUUCAUAAGCUAUUUAUAGGCCUCCACCUCCUUAAUGGACAGUGAGGAUUGAUUUGAUCUAAUGGCUAAGAUUAAGUAUCUAGAAUUUUAUAUACAAUUAUAUACUUAUCUACAUAUUCUACAUGUCUCCAAAUUGUUCUAAAAUGUUAUAGAAUCCUUCUUUGUCUUCUAAAGAAUUCUAGAGUCUUCAUAGGCCUUUGAACCUCAUUUGAGUAGGAGAAACUUGCGGGUUGUGAUAUGUAUUACCGCCAGCAUUUUUUGAGACUUUUCUUAAAGGGAUAUUUUAUCAUCAAUCUAAUCACCGUGUAUAUUUUUUUUUUCUUAUCAAUAAAUAAAUUUUUUUACUUGUAUAAUUUAAAUGUCUCAUAUAUUUUUAAAAAAGUGAUUCGAUUUAUGAGAUUUGAUAUGAUACUUAUGAGAUCAAAAAAUCAAAUUUAUUUAUAAAAGUAAGUUCUUCUUCGUAUGGAGUUAAAAAAGAAGUUCGUCAAUCAAGAAUUUAAAAAAAAAGAUUAAACACUAAUAUUAGUAAAUAUAUGAUUUUCUAUAAAAGAAUUUUUUUUUAUAAUUAUUAUUAUUUUGACAAUGUUUGUAAAAUGCAACUCAAUAAUAUAAAUAAUUAGUUGUCUGAAAGUUAGAUUCAAUUUCUUCACCAUUUUGCUAAAUAGAUAUCAGUUUUUUUCAUAAAAAGAACUAUACAACCAAUUGAAUAAAAUUAAAUAAAAUGAUAAUUAAAUAUGAUGACUAAUAAUGUUGAUGACUGUGUAAUAAUAAUGGCGAUAGUUUUGAACACGCUAAAAUGCACAGUUUUGAACAUGUUGAAAAUGCUCCUCUUCAAAUAAAGUGAAAAAGGCUAAACUUCAAAAGGAAAAUAAAUUAAAAAAAAACUGUGGAUCCAUUUCAGAAUUCCAAAUCACAACAAGCGUAAUUCUGACGGCAUGCGCGUAGCUACUAUUUUUCCAUAAAAAUAAAAAUAAAAAUUCAAACUUCCUCACUACACGUUGCAGCUGCAGGUCACGCGCACGUGCAUUUACUGUGGCUCCACGUCGGACCAAUGGCAUCGAAUGGUAAUUUCCCUUUUAAUCCAUGUCUACUUCAAUAUUAAUAACCGUACCUUUUUUUCUCCAAAACCACUAGCUGCUGCUCUGCUGCUGCCUUUAGAAAUUAUGCGUGGAUCGUCAGAUGAACGUAGUCGGUGCACAUCCACGUGUCACAAUCCUCUUCGUCUGUUUCCAUUAUAAAUAAACAUCAGUCUAGUGUAAUAGAGUAGGCGCAGCAUGUAUCUAUCUAUAUACUUCCGUCUUCUGUCCUUUCUUUCCUUUCUCUCUUUCUGUCUCUCUUGAAAAUUCAGCAUCUAUUAUUUGGAAGAGAGAGAAAAAAAAAAAAAGAAUAAUGGAGAAGGGGAGAGAGAGUUGAUUCUGUUACCGGCGGUCUCUAAUUCGCUUGGUGCAGGUCGGGAACUGAUUGGCUUUUCUAUUUCUAAUGAUUUCCAGGCGGCGAAAAGUUAUUGGUCAAGAUUAGAUGGAAAGUGAAUUGGAUCCCGCCUUGCAUCAACUGAAUCGAAGACCGGGGUGAAGGGUUGGUUUCGUGGACCUUGAGAUUUUAUCUGCCGUUACUGUUCAGAUCUCAGGUUGGGAUUUUUUUGUUUUUUUAUAUAGUUUUUAUUUUCGGUGACGCUUAUUAUGGUGUAGCUGAUAAUUAAUUAGUUUUUGUUGGAUAUUUCGGCAUUCCAUGAUCUGAUAUUAUUUGGCAUCAAUAGAUCUAAAUAUCAGAUCCUUUUAAUUAAUUUUCUCUCCUUUAUUCUACUUUAGAAUGGAGGAUUCGCGCCGGUUCAUAGUAAUUGAAAAUAUUGCACAACAACAUUUAUUUGAAUCCUUUUUUAAGAAAAAGGAACUCCUUUUUGCUACAGUUUUAGUUUAAAACAAAAGAAAGAACUUGUGCCCAAUAGAGCUGGUUAUGUUACUUGUUAUUAGAAUUUGACCAAGUUGAGUAUCAAAUUAUUGAAAAUUUGCUUUGCCUUUUUUAUUUCUCAAUCUAGCUUUGUCUAAGGAAUAUGAUUAUUUUUUUAAUGUGAUUUUACAAAGUAAAUAUAUUUCUUUUUUCCUUUUGCUAGCGCUUGAGAAAAUGGCUUUCAAUUUAAUAUUCAUGUCAGUGCUUGUAGAACAUUUUAGUUUUCGCAAUUUCACAUGAAAUGUGAUAAAUGUUCUUGGAUAGAACUCAUUCUAAAAGCUAGCUCAAAGGAAGAGGUUGCCCAAUCCACUUAUAUAUAUUAUAAUAGCCCAGUAACCAAGUGAUGUGAGAUAAAUACAACUUCUAACAAAAUGCUCUUUAAUUUUAUAAGUUACAACUUCUAACAAAAUGCUCUUAAAUUUUAUAAGUUAUAUCUGUUUUGCUAACUGAUAAACAUAGUAACUGAGGACAUUUACUGUUUUAAAUUUUUCUCGUUCAGGACUAAAGGACUUGGUAAGUUUUCUAUAUAACAUAAUUGAAUAUAAAUGAAACUUAAUCAAACAAGAAAUAAACAGUACUUUUAUUGUUUGCUAAACAUGCUCAUAGAUUUUAGUUGUGGACACGAAUAGUUAUGCUUUGACAUUCUUGUACUAAGUUGCAGUUUUUCAGUGUCAUAUAACAUUUUGUUUUGUUUUGGUGAAUUGUCUACAGACUAUCAAAUCUACUAAUAAGCUUCUAUUCAAACACGGAAAGAAAAUGACAAUAUACAGGAUGGAUAGAAGAAGUCGUGACACUGGGCUUUAGGUUUAAAGUUUAGACUUCCUCUGUGUUUGGACCAAAACAAUAGAUAAGUUGAAUAAUUUUGCAAAUGAAAUUCAUGCAGAAUUCAUUUAUAAAUUAACAUUUUUCAGUGGUAUACAAUAUAUCAAUGCAUAGACUUUAUUGUAAAGUAUAGAUUUUGUUGUUUUGAAUCUCUUACAAACUUUGAGACUUUUUAUAGAAAUUGGUUUAGGAUGACCAACUCCUUGAAACCGAAACUUUAGGGUGGAAAUGAAACUGUUUGGGGUUGCAAACAUGUCAAGUAUGGAUUUACAAUUUAAUUCAGUGGCAUUUUAUGUCAGUAAUUUGCUACAAGCGACGUCUUUUGUUAAGAACUGAAGUAUAAAGUAAAAGAGAACUCAACAAUUCUGGAUAAUUGCAUGGCUUCUUGUUGAAUAAACUUAGGCUUAAAUGGCCUUUUACAAUGACAAUAGAAUGAGAAAAAACAAUGAGAAAAACAUGCUCACGUUAUUAACAAUUCAACAUGAAAAGUGCUAACAAUAAGAUUAUUCCAAAUAGAAAUCUUAAUUGAAUGCCUAAAAUCUCUCUUCAUAUCCCCCCUUAAACUAGUUACCAAGGACAACUAAUUUAACUUAGGAACACAACAAACUCCUAGCUGACUUCGAAACUUUUGAAAAACAUCCACCGUGAGGGGUUGUCAUCAAAUCAGCCAGUUGAUUUUGAGUCCCACAAUGAACUAAUUCAACUAUGCCAUCUUUUGUAAGAUCUCGAAGGAAAUGAAAGCGUACAUCGUUGUGCUUACUCCGGCCAUGUAACACAGGAUUUUUUGACAGUUUUAUUGUGGAACUGUUAUCACAAUAAAUUGUUGUGCACUUACUUUCCUCUUGACUCAGUUUUUCAAAUAUUCUUUUCAUCCAGAUAACUUGACUUGCACAUGCUGCUGCAGCCACAAAUUCUGCUUCUGUUUUUGAGAGCGUGACUAUAGGUUGUUUUCGUGAAGACCAUGCAACAGCUCCUGCACCCAACAUAAAAACAUAUCCUGAUGUACUUUUUCUAUCUUCAACAUCGCCUGCAUAGUCGCUAUUAGUAUAUCCAACCAGACUUUCGUAUCCUCCAUGCUUAUAGAAAACUCCAAAUCCUAUUGUGCCUUUCAAGUACCUUAGUAUUCUCUUUGCUACCAUCAAAUGCAAUUCAGUUGGAUUGGCCAUGUACCUGCUAAUCAGACUUGCUGCAAACAUCAAAUCUGGUCUCGUAGUGGUUAAGUACAUGAGGCAUCCUAUCAUUUGCUUAAACAAAGUUGCAUCCACAUGAACCCCACUUUCAUCUUUAAAAAGCUUACAGCCUGAAACAAUAGGAUUAUGAAUUGAUUUGCUAUUUUCCAUUUGAAAUCUCUUCAAGACUUCAAAGGCAUAUUUUCUUUGACAAAUAUAAAUACCAUCAGACCUUUGUAAGACUUUUAUACCCAAGAAAAACCUCAUUCUUCCUAAAUCAGUCAUAUCGAAUUCCCUCAAUAUGGAACUUUUAAAAUCACUAAACAUCAAUUCAUCAUUGCCAGUAAAUAUUAAGUCAUCAACAUACAAACUAACAAUGAGAAUUUUACCUCCGCUGCUUCUUUUAAUGAACAAAGUAUAUUCAUUAUGACACUUCUCAAACCCUUCGUUUGUGAAAUGAGCUUCAAUGCGACUGAACCAAGCUCGUGGAGCUUGUUUCAGUCCAUAUAGUGCUUUCUUCAAUUUAUAAACUUUUUGAGAAUUAUCUUUCAGUUCAUAACCUUUUGGUUGUUCCACAUACACUUCUUUCUUAAGUUCUCCAUGUAAGAACUCAGAUUUGACGUCAAGUUGAUAGAGUGUCCACCCUUUUAUGUGCUGCAAGUGCUACAAUCAUUCUCACCGUGUCCAUUCUUGCAACUGGUACAAAUACUUCUAUGUAAUCUAUCCCUUGCUGCUGCACGUAUCCUUUUACUACUAAUCGGGCUUUCAAUUUGUCAACUUCUCCAUUCUCCUUGAGUUUAGUUUUAUAAACCCAUUUCAAUCCAAUUGUCUUUGCACCUUCAGGAAGAUCAAUGAGUUCCCAUGUGUUGUUCUUCUCAAUAGCUUGUAUCUCCAUGUCCAUUGCUUGUCUCUAUUUAUCAUGUUUCACUGCUUCUUUAAAAUGAGCUGGAUCUACUGAACCAAAGAGAAUUGAAUUGACAAUUGCAUCUUCGUCUUCUGAAUCUUUUGAAAUUCCUUCCCCAGUAAUAUAAUCACGCAUCCAUGUUGGAGGCUUUUUAGAUGGUUCUUCAGUAUUUUGAGGACUGCCAAUAGACUCAGUGCUUGCUUCUUCCUCUCCAUUUAGUGCGUCUCUAUUCACAGUAUCAUUAUUGUCCCAUUCUAGAUCAACCAAUAUGUGUUCUUCAUAACUUUUAUCCCAACUCCAAGAUUUAUCUUCCUCAAAGACCACAUCUCUGCUGAUUAUGAUCUUCCUUGCAACUGGAUCAUAUAGUCUGUAUGCUUUAGACUCCUCACUUAUGCCCAAUAGCACACAAGCAAGACUCUUUGAAUCUAAUUUUUUUCUUUUCACGUCAUGAACAUGCACAUGUGCCAAACAGCCGAAAAUUUUGAAAUAAUCGAUUGAGGGUCUACUCCUACACCACGCUUCCUCAGGUGUUUGAUUCUUCACAGGGAGAGUAGGACUUCGAUUUAGAACAUGGAUUAUCCAGUUCACUGCCUCGGGCCAGAAAGUCUUCCGCAUUUCUUUCUCGGAUAGCAUGCAUCGAACCAUGUUCAUCAUGGUACGAUUCUUUCGUUUUGCUACUCCAUUUUGUUGCGGAGUGUAAGAUGCUGUCAAUUGCCUUUUGAUUCCAUGCUCUGUGCAAAACUCAUUAAACUCAUGGGAUGUGAAUUCUCCCCCUCUAUCUGUUCUCAGACAUUUGAUAUAUCCUCCUAUUUCCUUUUCUACAUAACUUUUGAAUUGUUUAAACAUGGUUAAUGCUUCAGAUUUCUCUACUAGAAAAUAAACCCACGCCUUUCUAGUAAGAUCAUCAAUAAAGCAUAAAAAAUAUCUCUUCUUACUAUUAGACGUAGGAGAGAUCGGUCCGCAAAUAUCGCCAUGAACAAGUUGAAGUUUUUCUGUGGCUCUCCAAUUGCUCGACUUUGGGAUUGGAUUUCUAUGUUGUUUUCCAAUCAUACAAUUCGCACACACCGUUGUUGGAGUUUCGAAUGGAGGUAGUCAAUGCACCAUGUUUUUAUAUUGGAGAGUCCUUAGCCCCUUGUAGCUCAAUGUCCAUAACGAUAGUGCCAUAAAGUUGCUAAAUCACACGUUGAAGUGUAGAGACAAGUUGAGUUUUGGGGCAAUGGUUCUGCCCGCAGCACAAACAUCCGAUUCUUUGCUAUCUCUGUCUGAAUUAUAAGCCCUUUGUCUGGAUGAUAGAAUUUGAGUGUUCCACCUUGAAUAAGAAUUGCCAGCCCUUUUUCUUGUAGUUGAACAAUGGUUAACAGAUUGUUCUUCAGCUCAGGCACAAAAAAUACUUCACGGACAGUAUAUGAAAAACCACUUACUUUCAAUCUCACAUUGCCUUUACCUAAUACAUUCAACUUUGUGUUAUUUCCCAGAGUCACCUUCUGCCUGAAUGUCUCAUCAAAGUGUUCAAACUCAUUCUUGUCGCCACACAUGUGAUUGCUGCAUCUAGAAUCUAGAAACCAAAUGUUUUUCCUUUGAUCAUCUUUCAUCUUCACAUAUGACAUGAGCAACCUCUCUUCUCCUUCUUCUUCUUGUUCAACAUAAUUAGCUUCUUUAUCCCAGCUUGGACAUUCAUAUUGAAAAUGCCCAAGUUUAUGACAUUUAAAGCGUUCUAUCGUUGCUUUAUUGUAGGACUGGCGCCUCCCUCUUCCUCUACCUCUGUUUGCACCUCGACCCCUUCCCUCUUGCACUUGUUUUGUCAUCAUGACUAACUUUGAGUGCUUGUUCUGUUCCUGCAUAUCGUUGAAUUUUUGCUCGUGAAGAAUUAAAGAACUCUGCAACUCAUCUAUGGAAAGUUGAUCGAUAUGUCUUUGGACUCCUCGAUUGCACAAACAACGUAAUUAAAAUUCUCGUUUAGAGAUCUGAGAAUUUUUUCAACAAUUAUGACAUCUUGCAUCUGCUCACCAUAUGUCCUCAUCUUGUUAGCCACUGUUAAGACUCUUGAAAAAUACUCAGAGACACCUUCUCCGAUUUUCAUCUCUAGAGUUUCAAACUCUUUGCGGGGAGCUUGAAGAUGUGAUCUCUUAACUCUAGCCCUUCCUUCAAACUUUCUCUUCAUGGAUUCCCAAAUCUGUUUGGAAGUAUUUUUCUCCAGAAUGGUUUCUAGUAUUGUCCGAUCUAUGGCUUGAAAAAGAAAGUUCUUUACUUUCAUGUCUUUCAGCCGUGAUUCCUCUAGCUUCUUUCGUUGUGCUUCUGUCUGCACUGUACCAUAUGUUGGUUCCUCAUAACCAAUUUCUACCAAUCCCCAUAACUCCUUUGAUCGUAGGAAAUUUUCCAUCAACAUGCUCCAAUGGUCAUAGUGACCAUUAAAGUGAGGGAUAGAUGGCUGCACAAAAUUCCCUUUGCUUGUUGUCCUGUUGUUGUAAGGACUUCAAAGUCUGUUGCUUUCCCAGUGGGGGCUCUGAUACUAAAAUGUUAAGAACUGUAGUAUAAAGUAAAAGAGAACUCAACAACUCUGGAUAAUUGCAUGACUUCUUAUUGAAUAAACUUAGGCUUAAAUGGCCUUUUACAAUGACAACAGAAUGAGAAAAACAUGCUCACGUUAUUAACAAUUCAACGUGAAAAGUGCUAACAGUAAGAUUAUUCCAAAUAGAAAUCUUAACUGAAUGCCUAAAAUCUCUCUUCAUCUUUAUGGUAUUUAAAUUAAUUAUAACAUUAUGUUUGGUUCAAAUCUUAUGUGGAAUUUUAAUUUCAAUUACAAAUGAUUUUAUAAUAGAAUUCAUUUGUAAAUGAAUUUUGGUAUUUGGUAUAUUUUAUAAUAAAUGUAGAAUUCAUUUUUAAUAUUUUUGUGUUUGGUUUAAUUGCAAAAAUCAAUUCAAUAUUUUAAAAAUGCCCUUUAUAUGUAUUAUUUUGUAAUUUAGAUAUUUUCUAACCAAAUAUUAAUUAAAAUGAGAGAGAGAAGAGAGAGAAAAGGAAAACAUAAAAAAGGGAAAGAGAGAGAACUAUGAUAUUCGAAUAGUGUACUUUUUUCAUAACAAUGAAAAACUCAUAAGCUUCGAGUUCGUUUGCGAAUUCUAUCAAAUUCGGUAGAUUUUGGUUGAAUUAUAACCAAUUCCAUGAACCUUAUGAGUUAGAAUUCCAAGUGGUUUUUCAUUUAUGCCAAAUACACUAAAUUUGAAAUUAAAAAUGAAUUCCAUAAAAACUUAUGGAACUCAUUUAUACCAAACACAGUGUAAAUAUAGUUUCCAAAUUCUUCUGGUUUCAUAGUAGAUGGUAGGUCAAUACUGGAUUGUUUUCUCUCUAGUUCUUUCAUGCUUUGUUCUAAAUGUAGUUUCCAUUGCUAUAUGAUGCUGGAACCAGGCUUAGGGUAACUUUUGUGUUUUCCUCUAUUCUAUUUGAAGUCAGUGUGAUAACAAUUCAGUUGUACUCUAGAUCACUUAAAAAUGUUUUCAAGUUUCUGUAUUGACAUCCUUGUGAGCCAGGGUGGAUGUGAAGGGUAACUCAUGAUGACACCAAAAUGUGCUAGUUUUAAUUGUGUUCUUUCACCUCUCUCUCUCUCUCUCUCUCUCUCUCUUGUGUAUCUGUGGAUGCAUAUGAAUGAAUGUUUGGAUGCAUGUUUACGUUAUGUAUGUACACUCGUAUUACCUAAACUCUUUAAGGUACUUUGUUUUGAUGAUGAAUGUUUAAUAGUAUUGAUUGUGACGCUUGAGGAUUGAACGGAAAUAUCCUGCUUAAUGUCAAAGCUUUGGGCUUCAUCAACUGCUCAUGUACUGUCCCUGCUCCAGAUUUCAUGGCUAUGGUAUGGUAUCUCAUUUUUCUAGCAUUUCCCAUCAUGUCAUAUAUAUUGUGGUUUCUAUGUGUAACAGUUGAUGUGCUGGAUAUGCAAUAGUGAAGUUUUGCUUGCUUGGUUUUACUGCCAUUUACCACUGGUUAGUCUCUACAUCAGUCGAUGUUUGUACUUGUGUGUUUUGUGUUUAGCAAUCUGGGACCCUUACAGUUUCAUUUUAUUAGCAAAAGGUAGCAAAAGGUUCCACUUUGACAUUGAAUCAUCUUAAUUUUUAUUUUCAUAUGCAUGCAUGCAAACAUUUGGUCUCUUGUUUUGUUGUUUGUCAAAUUUUCUAUUAGUGCACCUGCUUGUUCUGGUUACUAGCACUUGUGUUCAUCUUGGAGACUGUUCGACAGUUUCCAAUAUAUGGUAUUUGAUCAAAAUCACUUAUAAACCCCCUUCUUCUAGCCCAUCUAUUAAUGUACAAGUACUUUUUCCUUAACAACUAGUGGUAAACUUAAGGCAUUUCAUUGUAUUGGUGAUUUUAUACUCAUCUACGGAAUGUAUAACUAAGUAUCAGUGUCUUGAGGUUCAUUUGGAUGAUUGACUAAACAAAGAUUUUGCAGGUCUUGCUGGUUAGAACAAGAAAAAGAUUUGACUCCAAUUCUUUUUGGCAACUUGGCUUUGUUGCCCAGCAUCCUCUUUGAGAUUUGCAGGUUGUCGUCCUGGCAGUAUCCUUGUUAAGGUUUAUCAAGUGCUCAUGUUCUCUAACAUGCUGCAGACAUUCCACCCAACCCCCAACCCUUCCUUCUUCCAUCAUUGGAUGAUGCC
This 30981-nucleotide long non-coding RNA is filed under the name Ricinus communis (castor bean). RNAcentral's name for it is "long non-coding RNA (RCOM_LNC000342)". The stretch from base 22919 to 23074 matches the Rfam family "MIR168 microRNA precursor family". The record is from RNAcentral. Lineage: Eukaryota; Viridiplantae; Streptophyta; Magnoliopsida; Malpighiales; Euphorbiaceae.